UUCAACCUACCCUUGGGACGGGGAAAAUCUCGGGAAACUGAUAAUAAUCCCCGAUAGGUGAGGGACGCUGGGAUGUCCCCUCGCCCAAAGCUCCGGCGCCCAAGGAUGGGACUGCGGCCUAUCAGGCUGUUGGUGGUGCGACGGACCACCAAACCUACGACGGGUACGGGCGAUGGGAGUCGGAGCCCGGAGAUGGGGACUGAGACAAGGCCCCAGGCCCUACGGGGCGCAGCAGGCGCGAAANCUCCGCNUGCGCGCAAGCGUGACGGGGGGACCCCAAGUGCCGUUGGUCUUUUGAUCGGCGGCUUUUCGGGAGUCUAAGANCUCCAGAAUAGNGCUGGGUAAGCUGGAGCCGCCGCCGCGGUAANACCAGCAGUCCAAGUGGUGGUCGCGAUUAUUGGGCCUNAGCGCUCGNNGCCGGGCUAGCAAGUCCCUUGUNNAUCGGGCCNNNCNCGGUUCGGCGUGCAAGGGAUACUGUUGGUCUUGAGGCCGGGAGAGGUCGGAGGUACUCCUGGGGUNNCGGUGNAAUGCUCNNAUCCUGGGGGGACCACCAGUGGCNNNNGCGUCCGNNCAGAACGGACCUGANGGUGAGGAGCGAAUGCUAGGGG
This 608-nucleotide ribosomal RNA is filed under the name uncultured archaeon. Its description in RNAcentral is "partial 16S ribosomal RNA". It matches the Rfam family "Archaeal small subunit ribosomal RNA", at positions 103 to 717 of the family's 1478-position model. The record is from RNAcentral.